This 2381-nucleotide unclassified non-coding RNA is filed under the name Leishmania donovani. Its description in RNAcentral is "gene:LdHU3.09.0830(CDS-product:palmitoyl_acyltran sferase_5_putative)". Lineage: Eukaryota; Euglenozoa; Kinetoplastea; Trypanosomatida; Trypanosomatidae. The record is from RNAcentral.
CCACAUCAGCGCACACGUACAGGGCGAGAACGAGCGAGAGACGUGCACGCACGUGUGCGCGCUGCCCGUCUCUCUGCGCGUGUAGUGCACCCCCCCCCUUCUGCUUCCCCCUCCCCUCAUCUCCCUCCCUUCCCCUGUUCUUCGGGGGAGGGGGGAUCGAUAGUGUGACAAGGGGUGCCCUCUUUGAUCCCGCCUCCACCACAACCCCACCACGACGGCGUUUCCAUCCCUCGCAGACACGCUCACGGCGGUGUCUCCUCCUCCUCGGCUCCUUCAUCAGCUCGCCGCUCUCCUCUCCCUCGCUUCCCCCCUCCCCCUUCCCCGCAUCCUCACCCCACCCAACCGACCACCACAUCUCUCUCUCUCUGUGUCUCCCUCCGCAUACACGUAGACAUACACACAGUCACGCACACACACACGUGUAGCUCAGCCGCGAGAAAGACAAAGAGGCGAAGGCGCCAUGUUGAUGCUUAUAUUUGGCACCUUCAUUGGUGCCAUUGCCCUGGUUGGGACCUUCAUGUACAUCGUCAUCAUGGGCCCGACUAGAUAUCACCGCGACGGCGUCGUCGGCAAGCUCCAUCGCCUCCUCACCAGCGUCCCGCUGUGCGUGUGCGGGUUCUGUGUGAGUUGCUGCUUUGGUUGUGAUCAGCGCAAGGGCCGGCUGUGCUGCAGUCGUUGUGCAAAACACACAAUCCACGAGCGUAACUGGUUCAUGGUCAUCUUUUACGUUGUCCUCGUGUGGACGGUGGAGGGUCUGUACCUGCUCGUCUCCCUGCCGCGGCUCAAGGCAUCCAUCACGUCGAAGGCAGUGUCGUGGGUUCUCGUCGUGCUCUCCGAGUUCCUGUGGGCCUGCGCCACUUUCUCCGACCCGGGCACCGUGACGGCGGAAGCCGAUAGGGCGGCGCAGCGGCAGCAAUUUGCGACCAAAGCUGCCACCGGCGCCAAGAAGAGGCUCUUGUCGCGUGAAACAGCAAAGAGCAGGGCGGGUAUCGCCGGUCAGGGCACGACACCGGGCAACUCCAAAUCCCGCCGGUCCUUCCUUUUCUCACCCGCGGAGGAGUUCGUGCUGAACCACCGGUAUAUUGUGGACGGCAUGGUGUACGCCAUUGCCUCCGAUGAGGCAGCCGCGCAGCUCACGAGGGCGCAAAAGGAGUACACAAGCCCGACUGUGGGACAGCCCGUCCAGCUAGGCCAGAGCUGCACCACCUGCCAUGUUUCUCGGCCCAGCCGCAGCAAGCACUGCCGUCUGUGUCAUCGGUGCGUGCGCCGGUACGACCAUCACUGCCCGUGGAUCAACAACGACGUGGCAGAGCGGACAACGCGCUAUUUCCUCGGCUUCCUUCUGUGCCACGCCAUGUCCUGCACUUGGGCCUGCAUCGACCUCUUCCGCAACACUCGCCAGUUUCUCGUGACACACCACGCGUGGGGGUGGGUGCUGCGAUACCCGAACGGCCGCACCGUCCCGCUGAACCUCUCCCAAUACCUGGCGAUCCUCGUCAACUUCCACUUGCUUGAGGCGUGUCUCUUCUUCUUCGCCUUCUUCAUCGGCCUCGUGCUGUACGCGUUCUGGGGCUAUCAGAUGACCUUUGCGGUGGCGAACCUGACAGUCAACGACCUCAACAAGAUCGACGACACAGUGGAGUUUGUGGUGACGCUGCCGACGCUGGAUUUGGUAUACCGUGAGUCACGCAAGGUGCGCGAGCGCCUCGAACAAGUAGCCGAGCGUAAGCCCAAGGCCCUUCUGGCGCUUAAGGAGCCCCCGCCACCCAAGACAGAACCCGGGUACGAGGAGGGCGGGAAGGAGAACCUAGCGUACCGCAAGCGUGCUAAGAAGAUGCUCACGGAGGACCUGAAAGGGUUGUACGACCGCGGAGUUUGGCGGAACUUGAUGGAGGUCCUCUUGCCUUCCGCGCCGCUGCGCGACUCGGCCGUCCUUGCCAAGGCCACGGCCUGUGUACUGUAGGGACUGGGCGGCGCUGGCGCUGAUUGCACGAUUCAUGGCGGGAGGUCCUGUGGGGGGGGGGGGUGUACGUGUCCGUCUGAGAGGGAAGGUGCGCAUGCAAGGCACUCGCGCUGACGCCGCGCAGAAAAAAAAAACAAACGAAAAGCACAAAGAGUAUUGCUGCCCGUUGUUAUUGUGAUGUUGGGAUGGAGGUGUAGAAUUGGUUACCAAGACCGUGUCCAGACUUUCCUCUCUACACCGGCCCCCUCCCUCCCGACACACACACACACACGCACACAUUCACGGCUCCAACAAAGCAUCCCCUCCCACCUUCAGGUGCGCGAGUGCGAGGCACAUGCGCACAUGCACGUGAACAUGGAGGUGUGUAUAUAUAUGGAUAUGGAUAUAUAUGUGUGUUGCCCUUUCAACACCAGAACAG